This 894-nucleotide long non-coding RNA is filed under the name Heterocephalus glaber (naked mole-rat). Its description in RNAcentral is "lncRNA (ENSHGLG00100045371.1)". Lineage: Eukaryota; Metazoa; Chordata; Mammalia; Rodentia; Bathyergidae. The record is from RNAcentral.
CUCCGAGCCCCUGGCACGGCCACAGUCCUCCCUGGAGGCUGCCUGGCUCCCUCCAGCAGGGCCACGCUGGCUGUUCCUGAGACGGGGAGUGCUCUCCCUGAGGUGGGCUCGGGUCGUGGUCCUUGCUGAAGCCUUGGUCACAGCCAUGCAGAACAGGCUCUGGCUAUGUUGCCUACACUGGUCUCAAACUCCUGGACUCAAAGCAAUUCUCCUGCCUUGGCCUCCUGAGGAGCUGUGUGUGCACCACAGAAACCAGUUCUUAAUAAAAACAAAACUAAUCAAUGGGGAACGGAAAGAUCUAAACUCACAGAUCCCAGACUCAAAUGGUGAGUGAUAUUUUGAUGCUGGCCUCUCGUUCGGACGAGGCUGAUCAGAUUCGGGUUAUCUCCGCUUCCUCCCCCUCCCCGGCCUUCACGCUCACCCACCGACCUCCUUCCCCGCGAAGGCCUCUCUGCACCCGCUGCCACCCCACUGCGCCUGACAGUUGGGCAGCUGGAACCGAGGCAGCGGCUGCUGCUGCCAGGGCCGUGGGCCGAGAGGGAGCCGGGCGUGGCCCAGAGACUGAGGGGCCCAGAGGCUCCGUCACCUUCCACUGCAGACCGACCGGGCGAGGCUGUGCCCCGAAGCCGCCCCAGCCUCCUAUUGACUGAGAGGAGCCGGCCCAGCCUCGGCCCGCAGCACAACCCCCAGGGACCGUGCUGACGUCACAAGCACACGGCUGUGCGCUCCUCCAUCAAAGUCCGCAGCUUCCUCGUAAAACAGCAUCAGCUGGGCACAGUGACAGUCCCUGAAUCCCAGUCUCCCAGGAGGCCAAGGCAGGAGGAUGCAAACUCAAACCCAGACUGAGCAGCUUAGCACAAUCCUGUCUCGGAAUAAAAUUCUAAACAGGGCUGG